This is a long non-coding RNA of Agelaius phoeniceus (red-winged blackbird), 884 nucleotides long. RefSeq lists it as uncharacterized. Lineage: Eukaryota; Metazoa; Chordata; Aves; Passeriformes; Icteridae. The record is from RefSeq and is a predicted model, not a curated record.
UGGGGAGAAAUAGCCGAGUCACGGCCUAGGGCCCGUGAGGGCAGGGCGGGGGAACUACCGCCCGUUUCGGGCAGGGUACCUCGCGCUCUCUCAGGGACGGUCUCCAAUGUCAGAUGCCUUCCUCCUUUCAGGAACCUCUGUUGGCGGACCCUGCGGUUGUCUCAUGCAUCACACCUUAUUGCUUCAAGCCGGUUACUUUCCUUACUUCAGGGAAAAAGAACACAAAUUAAGUUCCUUCUUACGUGGCCGUGCAGAGCAAAACUUUCGGGUUUUGCUCGCCAGUUCCAAGUGAAGGCGUAGAGAUGGACUCCGUGCUGGAGAAGGUCCCCCGUAGCUUUGGUGCUGCAGGACACAAAUCAUCCUUAGCUUUAACCAACACCGCAGACUCCUCGUUAAAUGUUACAGUAGAAAAGUGAACCUUGUUGGAGUUGUCAGUCUCCUGAUUAGAAGCAGAAGAUGACAUUAGGAAUAGCAAAAGUGCCUACUUGGAAUACAAAGGUCUAUGUAAAUAUACCCCCUGAUUGCAGCUGCUGUGGAAAAAGAAGAAAGUAUAAGGAAGGUUUACUCAUGUACUAUAAAACUGGGAGGAAAUAAGAGACAGCAGGUGAAAGAAGCAGCAUAUACAAAAGAAGAAAAAGGGAAAUCACUGAAGGAAAUGCAUAAGUUGAGUGAAAGUUAGUAAUCCUGGAACUGGCUCUUAUUACCAUACAGAAAGAGAUAGUAUUUGUGGUUUGGUGAGUGAGCUAUUUUUGAUAUUGUUUUCCUACAUAAGCUACUGAUAUAAUUGCUAAAGAAAAAAACAGUGAAAAGAUCAGAACAUCCUGUGAGCACAGAUAGAGCUUACAUUGUGUAUACAUUUUGGAAAUAAAACUCAUUUAUUUUUA